CCUACGGGAGGCAGCAGUGGGGAAUAUUGCACAAUGGGGGAAACCCUGAUGCAGCGACGCCGCGUGAGUGAAGAAGUAAUUCGGUAUGUAAAGCUCUAUUAGCAGGGAAGAAAAUGACGGUACCUGAGUAAGAAGCCCCGGCUAACUACGUGCCAGCAGCCGCGGUAAUACGUAGGGGGCAAGCGUUAUCCGGAUUUACUGGGUGUAAAGGGAGCGUAGACGGCAGUGCAAGUCUGGAGUGAAAGGCGGGGGCUCAACCCCCGGACUGCUCUGGAAACUGUACGGCUGGAGUGCAGGAGAGGUAGGUGGAAUUCCUGGUGUAGCGGUGAAAUGCGUAGAUAUCAGGAAGAACACCAGUUGCGAAGGCAGCUUACUGGACUGUAACUGACGUUGAGGCUCGAAAGCGUGGGGAGCAAACAGGAUUAGAUACCCCAGUAGUC
Molecule: ribosomal RNA, 440 nt
Filed under: uncultured bacterium
Lineage: Bacteria
Description: partial 16S ribosomal RNA
Rfam family: Bacterial small subunit ribosomal RNA
Source: RNAcentral